Molecule: ribosomal RNA, 930 nt
Filed under: uncultured Bacteroides sp.
Lineage: Bacteria; Pseudomonadati; Bacteroidota; Bacteroidia; Bacteroidales; Bacteroidaceae
Description: bacterial SSU rRNA
Rfam family: Bacterial small subunit ribosomal RNA
Source: RNAcentral
GGCUACCAUGCAAGUCGAGGGGCAGCAUGGUCUUAGCUUGCUAAGGCUGAUGGCGACCGGCGCACGGGUGAGUAACACGUAUCCAACCUGCCGUCUACUCUUGGCCAGCCUUCUGAAAGGAAGAUUAAUCCAGGAUGGCAUCAUGAGUUCACAUGUCCGCAUGAUUAAAGGUAUUUUCCGGUAGACGAUGGGGAUGCGUUCCAUUAGAUAGUAGGCGGGGUAACGGCCCACCUAGUCAACGAUGGAUAGGGGUUCUGAGAGGAAGGUCCCCCACAUUGGAACUGAGACACGGUCCAAACUCCUACGGGAGGCAGCAGUGAGGAAUAUUGGUCAAUGGGCGAUGGCCUGAACCAGCCAAGUAGCGUGAAGGAUGACUGCCCUAUGGGUUGUAAACUUCUUUUAUAAAGGAAUAAAGUCGGGUAUGCAUACCCGUUUGCAUGUACUUUAUGAAUAAGGAUCGGCUAACUCCGUGCCAGCAGCCGCGGUAAUACGGAGGAUCCGAGCGUUAUCCGGAUUUAUUGGGUUUAAAGGGAGCGUAGAUGGAUGUUUAAGUCAGUUGUGAAAGUUUGCGGCUCAACCGUAAAAUUGCAGUUGAUACUGGAUGUCUUGAGUGCAGUUGAGGCAGGCGGAAUUCGUGGUGUAGCGGUGAAAUGCUUAGAUAUCACGAAGAACUCCGAUUGCGAAGGCAGCCUGCUAAGCUGCAACUGACAUUGAGGCUCGAAAGUGUGGGUAUCAAACAGGAUUAGAUACCCUGGUAGUCCACACGGUAAACGAUGAAUACUCGCUGUUUGCGAUAUACGGCAAGCGGCCAAGCGAAAGCGUUAAGUAUUCCACCUGGGGAGUACGCCGGCAACGGUGAAACUCAAAGGAAUUGACGGGGGCCCGCACAAGCGGAGGAACAUGUGGUUUAAUUCGAUGAUACGCGAGGAA